Molecule: small nucleolar RNA, 95 nt
Organism: Brassica oleracea var. oleracea
Lineage: Eukaryota; Viridiplantae; Streptophyta; Magnoliopsida; Brassicales; Brassicaceae
Rfam family: Small nucleolar RNA snoR97
Source: Rfam
UUAAAAUAAAACGUAUAGAAAAAAAUAUUGUGUUAACAUCAGCUUUGUCUCUGGUCUCGGCCUUGAGAUUUGAUUUAAACUAAAACACUACAUUA